UUUUUUUUUUUGUGUGUUACAUUUGAGGUACCUUUAUAUAGUAUCAUAUAUACGAAGCUCGUAUACUCUAUGUGUACUAUAUAUAAAAUGCAGGCUCAGUCAAGACAAGAAGGGCUUUGAAUGAAAAGCGCAUUGUAAAAUAUUGCUAAAUUAUGACAAACAACUUGAUUUUGAGUGGCAUAUGAAGCAUAACACAUAAUUUAUUCCUAAACUAAAUCAACAAGACCUUUAAAACCUUUUCCAUUUGAUCGUCACUUUCUCAGGUUAUUCAAGGAAAAUACACAUCGCAUGAAGUGCCACUGAUUCAAUGUAUAAAAUGUAAAAAGCCAAAAGUAAUGUUAGCAGGAAAUCCUCCUACUUCACACACAACAUUUUAUACUGCCAAGCUACUCCGUUUUCUUUUACAUCCACAAGAUUUUAGCAAAAAUUAAUGGCAGGAGACACUGAACAUAUUCUUCACUACAUCUAAAAAUCAUACGCUAGGAGCAAACAACCUUAGGACUGCAGAGAAAACCUGGAAUUACUUUAGAUAGUGUGAAAUAAGAUGCUGUGACAGUUGCACAAAGACAAGAAAAAUACUCUUUCUAGAUCAGGACUGAAGGAAUUGUUUAGCAUUGGCAGACUAGUAGUCUGGAAAGAGGAUAUCUGCAUUCAAGCAAGGAUAGACAAUAGCUUGAGUUUGCAGAGGUCUGUCCCACCAUUAAGCCUCAGCUAGAAUUAAGUUGAAAGCAGAUAAUUCCUAGAAAUUAGCUCUGAAAACAAGCAUUUAUUAAGUGAUUUAAUUUUAAUUACAUAUUAAACAUUACUUUGGCAAGUUAAAAGCAAUAAUAAUAACUCCAAAACUACGUAAUUUCAGUGAAAGAGAGUGAGGAUGCACAUUAGAGCUCUCAUAAAGCUGUUCCACUUUAGCACUUCUAUGACAUUUCUGCUCUUUAGAUUCCUUUCCAGAUUAAUUUCUUAAGUAUUCAGACAGAAGCUGCUGCUCCUAAUUUCUUGCUCAUUUUAUAAGGGAACAACAAGACAGCUAAAAAUACUCCACAGGCUGAAGGGAAGGAUAUUCACAGCAGUCAGUUUUAUACACUCAGCUUGGCUGACUAAGGUGAAAAGCAAUUAUACCUUGAGCUGUUUGUGAAACCAGCUCCUUUGAAGGAGAUUGAGACCAAGACUACUUCAUGCGCCCUCUGGCUGAACAGCACAAGCUGGGGCAACCAGCUUGAAAGCAGAGAAGGCCCAGGGUGUCCUGCUGAUAGCUGACCAUCAUGAAGUUGACCAUCAUGAAGAUGACCAUGAGCUAUCAAAGGGCCAUCAGCUUCCUGGGUUGCAUUAGGCAGAGUGUUGCCAACAGGAUGAAGAAGGUGAUCCUUGCCCUCUGUUCAGCAAUGGUGAGACCCAAUCUGGAGUGUUGGGUACAGCUCUGAGUCCCUCAGAACAAGAGAGACGUGGACAAAAUGGAGUGAAUUCAGUGAAGAUCCAUGAAGAUGAAAAGCAUCUGCCAUAUAAGAAAAGGCUGAGAGUGAUGGGACUGUUCAGCCUGAAGAAGAGAAGGCUCAAAAGAACCUUAUCAAUGUAUACAAAAGCCUUCUUAUUCCUAUUUGAAACGUUUUCUUGCUUCUUGAAAUGUAAGUUAUAUCACUGCUAUGAGUUUCAUAUCAAUAAGUCACUUCUAAAUGAUCCUAAUAGCAUUAUUUAGUGGCAGGACUUUUGAAAGAACUAAGAGAACCUGAUUUACACAUCACCCUCAUGCUUUGGGUCAAAGGCCAUGAGUGUUUUAAUCUGUUCACAUACCACCCCUACAUGUACCUGAUGAAGCAACGUAAUGCAAUUCUAAAUAUAUAUUCACAGAUAGAAAGGGCAGCAAGUUAGAGACAGAUCUCUGUUCUGGGCUUUAUAUAAUAUUGCCC
RNAcentral lists this long non-coding RNA (1901 nucleotides) under Strigops habroptila (Kakapo). Its description in RNAcentral is "lncRNA (ENSSHBG00005021331.1)". Lineage: Eukaryota; Metazoa; Chordata; Aves; Psittaciformes; Psittacidae. The record is from RNAcentral.